GGGGAAUUUUCCGCAAUGGGCGCAAGCCUGACGGAGCAACGCCGCGUGAGGGAGGAAGGCCUGUGGGUUGUAAACCUCUUUUCUCAAGGAAGAACACAAUGACGGUACUUGAGGAAUCAGCAUCGGCUAACUCCGUGCCAGCAGCCGCGGUAAGACGGAGGAUGCAAGCGUUAUCCGGAAUUAUUGGGCGUAAAGCGUCCGUAGGUGGUUAUAAAAGUCUGUUGUUAAAGCCCACAGCUCAACUGUGGAUCGGCAAUGGAAACUGUAUGACUUGAGUGUGGUAGGGGUAGAGGGAAUUCCUAGUGUAGCNGUGAAAUGCGUAGAUAUUAGGAAGAACACCAGUGGCGAAGGCGCUCUACUGGGCCAUAACUGACACUGAUGGACGAAAGCUAGGGGAGCGAAAGGGAUUAGAUACCCCUGUAGUC
Molecule: ribosomal RNA, 425 nt
Filed under: uncultured cyanobacterium
Lineage: Bacteria; Bacillati; Cyanobacteriota
Description: bacterial SSU rRNA
Rfam family: Bacterial small subunit ribosomal RNA
Source: RNAcentral